RNAcentral lists this ribosomal RNA (497 nucleotides) under uncultured bacterium. Its description in RNAcentral is "partial 16S ribosomal RNA". It matches the Rfam family "Bacterial small subunit ribosomal RNA", at positions 28 to 507 of the family's 1533-position model. The record is from RNAcentral.
GAUGAACGCUGGCGGCGUGCCUAAUACAUGCAAGUCGAGCGAACAGAUACGGAGCUUGCUCCUUUGACGUUAGCGGCGGACGGGUGAGUCACACGUGGAUAACCUACCUAUAAGACUGGGAUAACUUCGGGAAACCGGAGCUAAUACCGGAUAACAUAUUGAACCGCAUGGUUCAAUAGUGAAAGGCGGCUUUGCUGUCACUUAUAGAUGGAUCCGCGCCGUAUUAGCUAGUUGGUAAGGUAACGGCUUACCAAGGCAACGAUACGUAGCCGACCUGAGAGGGGGGUCGGCGACACUGGAACGUAGACACGGUCCAGACUCCUACGGGAGGCAGCAGUAGGGAAUCUUCCGCAAUGGGCGAAAGCCUGACGGAGCAACGCCGCGUGAGUGAUGAAGGUCUUCGGAUCGUAAAACUCUGUUAUCAGGGAAGAACAAAUGUGUAAGUAACUGUGCACAUCUUGACGGUACCUGAUCAGAAAGCCACGGCUAACUACGUG